GUUCUAUCUGUCCUGCUUAGUGGAAACACAAUUUUACCUCCUGACGAUGGCCUGUGGAAGAAUUUGGAUUUCAGUGGAAUCUCUCAAACAAAAACAUCGGCGAAAGUGCUCAGCAAAAUUACCUUUUGUUUGCUCAAGUAAUGAUUCAACAUCCGCAUUAGUUGGAGCAAUCUUUCCUCCCGCCGGGCGUCACCAAGGCCGGAAUCAUAGAUGACAAGCACGCAGCAGGCGCAGGAAUAAAAAUUAGUCGACAACCCUGAGAAUAAUCAAUCUUAUCAAGACUUAUCAAACUCAAGAAGCAAAUUGCAGAGGUGUCACUCACUUUGGAAGAAUUUUGGU
Long non-coding RNA from Bemisia tabaci, 339 nucleotides. RefSeq lists it as uncharacterized. Lineage: Eukaryota; Metazoa; Arthropoda; Insecta; Hemiptera; Aleyrodidae. The record is from RefSeq and is a predicted model, not a curated record.